Molecule: ribosomal RNA, 496 nt
Filed under: uncultured bacterium
Lineage: Bacteria
Description: partial 16S ribosomal RNA
Rfam family: Bacterial small subunit ribosomal RNA
Source: RNAcentral
GAUGAACGCUGGCGGCGUGCCUAAUACAUGCAAGUCGAGCGAACAGACGAGGAGCUUGCUCCUCUGACGUUAGCGGCGGACGGGUGAGUAACACGUGGAUAACCUACCUAUAAGACUGGGAUAACUUCGGGAAACCGGAGCUAAUACCGGAUAAUAUAUUGAACCGCAUGGUUCAAUAGUGAAAGACGGUUUUGCUGUCACUUAUAGAUGGAUCCGCGCCGCAUUAGCUAGUUGGUAAGGUAACGGCUUACCAAGGCGACGAUGCGUAGCCGACCUGAGAGGGUGAUCGGCCACACUGGAGCUGAGACACGGUCCAGACUCCUACGGGAGGCAGCAGUAGGGAAUCUUCCGCAAUGGGCGAAAGCCUGACGGAGCAACGCCGCGUGAGUGAUGAAGGUCUUCGGAUCGUAAAACUCUGUUAUUGGGGAAGAACAAAUGUGUAAGUAACUAUGCACGUCUUGACGGUACCUAAUCAGAAAGCCACGGCUAACUACGU